This 74-nucleotide transfer RNA is filed under the name Streptomyces mutabilis. Lineage: Bacteria; Bacillati; Actinomycetota; Actinomycetes; Kitasatosporales; Streptomycetaceae. The record is from RNAcentral.
UGACCAAGUCACUGUCCCUGGACGGCAGGCCCUACGGCAUCGCGGUCGGCCAGAUCGACAUCGGCAACGCGGCG